UCCCGUACUCUAUCUCUAUCAUUCAUAGUCGCUGAUUAAGCUUCCGUGUAUUGCUUAUUUCAAGUCUUAAUUUUCUUUUAGUUUUGUUUAGGGUGCUGUUUGAGUGAUGCCAAAUUGUCUUAACUUGUUCAUGAGCGCCUUCAAUGUCGAUUAAGCUUUUAUCUUUAACAUUUUCAAGCAAAAUCCUCAAAUGGGUUAAUUUAACUGCCCGUAUAUCCUCACUUUCGUCUGCUAAUGCACUGCAAGUUACUGAUUAUGAAGCAAAGAUUCAAUCUUUGAGAAAUAAGCCAUACCCGCAUAAUCUUAUCUGGGUUUUGGAUAGCACUGGCGACUUGAACUCUUCCGUGAAGAUAUUUAAAUAGCUAUUUCUCCAAAAAAGGUUUCAACACAGCUGAUACUUAUGGUAUGACAAUUUUGUAGUUUAGGAGAAUGAACAAGAAAGGGUGUAGUCCUAAUAGUAGAAGUUUUGAGAUAAUAAUUAUAAAAGGUCUUAUUUUGAGCAAUCGAGUGGAUGAUUCGGUUAUCAUUUUAGGCGAGAUUUUAUGCUGGAUUUGAGCUGAAAUUAAGUUUCUAUACCUGUAUAAUACCACUGUUUUGUAGGGAAAAAAAACUAGGGGAGGGAAUCUGACUGUUAAGGUUGAUUAGAGCUUCAAAUCCUUAGCCAGAUGGGUUGAUUUAUAGGGAGUUAAUUAGAUGCACGUGUGUGACCCAUACUUUAGAUGAUGCGAAUUAUCUUCUUGAAGAGAUGAUGGAAAACGAUAGAACACCUGCUGUUGAUGUGCUUGUUGAUCUAGUAGUAGGACUUUGUGCUAUGCUUGAAGGCUGCUGCAAUGCUGGUAAAGCUUUUUUGGCAAAAGGUAUCCCGGACAAAAGGGAUGAGGGAAACAUAACUGAUUGUGAUUCUUGGAAUAUUCUAAUCAUACGACUUUAUGAGAAUAUGGAAACAAGGAAAGCUGAUCAACUUCUUUGUAGAAUGUUUAUAUUUUCCAUAGUUCUUGACUCUGCGACAUACUCAGCUCUUGUUGUAGCCAACUGUCGAUCGAGAAAGUAUGAGGAUGCUCUGCAGGUGUUCCAUCGGGUUUGUAUCGAAAAUUGGGUUCUGGAUUCUAUAUCUUAUUAGGACUUAUGGAGAGCCUUUGCCAGGCAGGAAAGAUUUGGAGGCUGCUGAAGUAUUUCAUUACAUGUCGAAGAACAGAUGCUUCCUCAUUCCUUCUUCUUACAAUAUGCUGAUUGGUGGCAUGUGUAAUAAAGCAAUUAGGCUACAGAGUUUUGCUUACAGUUCUAAUACUCCUUACACUACUCUAACUUACAUGGCAAUCAUGCAUGGAUUAUCAAAAUUAAAAAUGGCUAAAGGACUAAUGGUAAUUCUCUCACAAAUGUUGGUGGACGGUUGUGCUGUUGAUGUGGAAGUAUAUUGCAUCCUCAUACACAGCAUGAGUGCACAAAAUUGAACUAAGGAUUCUGCUUUCUUUUUCAAUGUGAUGGUUAAUGAGGGUUUAGUGCCUGACCGAGAAACAAUGCAUACUCUUCCAUGUUGUUUGGCUAGCUAAUCUCACUUGCACAUGGUUUUAAGUGGGAUUGAUAAACUAGUUUCUAAUAGUGAUAUUUUGGAUUCAUCUAUGUAUAACAUACUAAUCAACAACCUCCAGAAAGAGGGUCUAAAAAGUGAGGCUUCCCGAUUAUUGGAUCUGAUGUUAGAAAAAGGUUGGGUACCAGAUGCUACAACACACGGACUGUUGGUUGGGUCUUUUAUCAAAAGAGAUACAGGUGGUGAAACAUUUGCAUAUGAGGAUUCCAUGCAAGAUAGUGUUAGCAACAUUCUCGCUGAGGGAAUGGGAAAUACAUGACAAGUUCCCAUAGUUGACAAUGAAACUGUAAUUAGAAAGUUUCUAAAUUAUCCUUGUGGAAAACUCGCCAUGAUGGGAUAUAUCAAGUAGUGCCCUAAUCAGUUUGGAUUGGCGUCAACUUGUCCAUCAGACUAUUUGGAAUUGUAUUUUAAGGUAGCAUGAAGAGGGCAGAAAGAUUAUAAUCAGCAAAGGAUUGAGGUCCAAGGGAAGACUGGAAUCGCAACCUUCAGGCCAGAGAUUGUUGACCAUUAUUUAGCAGCUGAAGUUCAUUCUUUGACAGGGUUAAAGAUGCAAGUGAUAAGGAAAUUCUAGUGGACCUGUUGUUCUGGCCGACCCACAAAUAUAAUGUUAAUAUCUGGAGAUAGAGAUGUCUCCAAUGCUUUCCAUUAAUUGAGGAUGAGAAGAUACAACAUUCGGCUUGCUCAGCUGCAGAAUGCCUUGGCUCUUCUCCUUGCAGUCAUCAAGAUCAUAUGGCUCUGGACAAGUCUUCUGGCUAGAGGCCUUUCAUUAAUGACUAAAAUUGGUAACAAAUUUCAAUCCCUAAUGAUAUGCCUUUUGCACAUGUACAAAUUCCCUAAUUGGGAAAUCCUAAAGAGAAAUUCAGUAAUAGUGGCCUAGUUGAUAUUCUGGAAGAUCAAGAAACCUGUAAAUUAUCACCACCCUGGUACUAAUUAUAAUCCCAAGAGUUCUGUUAUUGGCCUUGCCCGGAUGGAUUUGCUCAUUUUAGCCUUGCUCAGAAUGGUUAUAGAAAUCAUUAUCCACCAGCCUUUAGUGCCAAACAAUCACCCUAAUCAUCUUCAUAGUUCUGUCCAAAAAGGCAGUGAGGUCACCAAUUUUGAUCCUAUUAGCAUGAAUCUGAAGCCGGCAUUGUUGAGUCAGUCGCAAAAUGGACAUAUAGAGCAUCAGAAGCUAUCGUUUUCUUCACCAGUGAACUUGAUUAAUAUGUCUAGUUGUGUCAUAUGGGGGACGUCACGAUGUCCAAAACCUUAGAGGUAUUGUGUUACUAACGUUUAACUCCUUGAAAGUUGAAAAGAUACUGUCAAUUGAAAGUAAUAUAAUCUAUUACAUUCGAUAUGGAUAUCCAAAGCAUCAGAAUACUGACAUUAAAAAGGCCUUGGAAAUUGCCGUUGAUCUAUAGAUGGUAGUGAAGCAGAAAAUUGGAGCUAUGAACUUGUAUGUUGGUAAGAAGGAGAAACUUUGGAAAUGUGUGAACUCUAUUGCUGGUAAUCCUAUGCAAAUCUCAGAAAUGACAUGGGAAAGAAUCAAAAAGUUUCUGGUGUCUCUUAAAGGGACAUUUGCAAUAAUGGCUUCUCAACGCAGGUAUGAAGCUGGUACUAUUUUGAAGAAUAUGUGCUUGACAGAGCUUACAUUAGGUGACAUACUUCAGAUCUUGAACAUGUUAAUUACCAUAAAGAAAUGAAUUAUUCAUAAUCAAGCAGGAUGGCAGCCCAUCAUCAUCGCUGUUGAAGAGCGCAGCCCUGAAUUGGGCACGAUAUCUGGUUCAUAAAGGUUUGACUGAGCUAUCUGUGGUAAGGGAAAGGGGCCUCUUGAUAGUUUGAAACAAACUGAGUGUAAAUUGAUAGAUGAUUUUUUGCAAUAAGGUUGGUAAACAGUAAGUCUCCUUGUGCCAAGACUCAUUCUGUAGAUUUACUAGUGAUGAAAGUUGUUACACAUGAUGGCUACUGUCUAGAUUUUUUAUUAGAGAUGAUGUUUCAAGUGAAAGUUUGCUAGAUGUGUCAAAGAGUAUACAAUGCAAGGCUCUGCGGUACAAGAAAUUGAUCAUCUGUUGCAUCUUCUGGAUUCUAUCGAAAAUUGCAAGGAUGAUCGUGCUGUUUCCAAAUUUCAAUGAAACAUAUUUAUGCAGAAAAAUUUCCUACCUCUCAUAUAGUUCAUGGUGCCAUAAGAACUCUAAAUGUAAGGCCUGAUUUAAAAGUGGCAUUGAAGAGGCAAGAGUUUGGGUAGUUUGCAGAGAAGCAGAUGACACAAAUUACAGAAAUUUAUGAAAAAUACAUCCAACUGUAAUUAGAUAAACAUAAAAUAUGUUCUGCUGAAAGCUACCCGUUCUCCUAUGAUCACAUCAUACUAUGAAGACAUCAAGAUGAGCAUGUGUCGAAUCAACGGGUCUUUGUUCUUAUUAUUUUCGGGUAUUCUCAGAAUAAGCAGAUUUGUAAAUUCAUCCCUCUGCAGCAUCAGUUUAGCAGUUUGUCACUGUAUUUGCUGUACUUCUUUGAAAGCUGUAUGGUCCUUAGAGCUCGUAAAACCAUUAGUCCCUUGGCUAUAAUCCUUAUAUUUAGGUCUCCUGUGUGCAAACUUUGAUAGAAAAAUCAAGUGUUUCUUAUUUUUGCUCCCA
This is a long non-coding RNA of Mangifera indica (mango), 4197 nucleotides long. RefSeq lists it as uncharacterized. The transcript is spliced from 4 exons. The record is from RefSeq and is a predicted model, not a curated record. NCBI's taxonomy places the organism in Eukaryota, Viridiplantae, Streptophyta, Magnoliopsida, Sapindales, Anacardiaceae.